CUUAAAAUAAAAAGUUUGCAAAAUAGUGUAUGUAUAGAUUUAUGUUCUGUUGUUGUUCAUUUACUAUAAACAAGUAUAUGAAUUUGGAAAUGGAAAUUUAGUUCAACGCCAAUAGCAAUUGUGAUAAAGUAAUUUAAGAUCAUUUAAAGUUCAGUCAAGCAAGCACCUGAAAAUGGUCAACUUUUUGUUUAAUAUAGAUUGCUGUUCCAAAUACAAGUUGCAGAUAUGAUCCAAUACUUUAUGUCAAGCAAGGUUCAGAUUUUAAACCAAACAAACUUACUAUCUGUUGAUCUUCUGCUUUGUUUUGAAGUUAUGAGUUCAGAUAGAUAUAUGUUUUGUUCAAAGCAGAUCAGCCAACCAUAUAAAGGACAGAUAAAACUGACCCUCAUCUCAGGCUUAAGGGUCAAUUAAUGCAAUUUCUCAAAAGCUUUUUUGAAGUAUGCAACCCUGAUGUCUUGAUGGGCACAAUCACAUGGAAGUAAUGUAAUAUUAAAUUAAAUAUUAAAGUAUAAAAUUUGCAUUUA
Molecule: non-coding RNA, 524 nt
Organism: Hydra vulgaris (swiftwater hydra)
Lineage: Eukaryota; Metazoa; Cnidaria; Hydrozoa; Anthoathecata; Hydridae
Source: RefSeq, a predicted model, not a curated record